This 228-nucleotide microRNA precursor is filed under the name Sorghum bicolor (sorghum). RNAcentral describes it as "MIR6217 microRNA precursor family". It matches the Rfam family "MIR6217 microRNA precursor family". Lineage: Eukaryota; Viridiplantae; Streptophyta; Magnoliopsida; Poales; Poaceae. The record is from Rfam by way of RNAcentral.
AGGCAACAGAAUAUCUAAAUAUAUAGACACAUAGAGAUACGAAAAUUAUUAUAUAAAUUUAUAAGAUUAUAGUAACUCCUUACUAAAUGGUUUAUUAUAACAUUACGGCAAAUAUGCUCGUGUGUUAUAGUAAUCCAACUAUCGUAAAUAUGUAUACAUAUUAUCGUAAAUUAGUAUAUAAAAUUAUCGUAAAUGGAGGGGGCUACAGAAUAACAUAUUUUGUAGCUA